UGAAUCUGGAUUCCCAUCUAGUGGCAGACGGGUGAGUAACACGUGGGUGACCUACCUUUUCGUUGGGGAUAACAGUUGGAAACGAUUGCUAAUACCGCAUGACGCAUGAGGAAGACAUCUUCUUUAUGUUAAAGGAGCAAUCCGCACAAAGAUGGCCUCGCGUCCGAUUAGCUAGUUGGUGAGGUAACGGCCCACCAAGGCGACGAUGCAUAGCCGGUCUGAGAGGAUGAACGGCCACAUUGGGACUGAGAUACGGCCCAGACUCC
Molecule: ribosomal RNA, 266 nt
Filed under: uncultured bacterium
Lineage: Bacteria
Description: partial 16S ribosomal RNA
Rfam family: Bacterial small subunit ribosomal RNA
Source: RNAcentral